This 981-nucleotide long non-coding RNA is filed under the name Anas platyrhynchos platyrhynchos (common mallard). RNAcentral describes it as "lncRNA (ENSAPLG00000016842.1)". Lineage: Eukaryota; Metazoa; Chordata; Aves; Anseriformes; Anatidae. The record is from RNAcentral.
UCUCCAUCAUCCCCAUCCUCAUCCUCAUCCCCAUGGUCUCCACCCCCAUGGUCUCCAACCCCAUCUCCAUCAUCCCCGUUCUCCUCAUCCCCAUGGUCUCCACCUCCGUUUCCAUCAUCCUCCUCAUCCCCAUGGUCUCCAUCCCCAUGGUCUCCAUCCCCAUCCUCAUACUCAUGGUCCCCAUUUCCAUGGUCUCCAUCAUCCCCAUCCUCCUCAUCCCCAUGGUCUCCAUCCAUCCUCAUCCCCAUCCCCAUGGUCUCCAUCUCCAUUCCCCUCUCCAUCCCCAUCCCCACCAUCCCCACGGCCCCAUCUCCACCCCACUGCCUCCACCUCUUCUUCCAGGGCCUCCCAGGAGAGAGGGGUCUGGCCGGCCCCGAGGGGAAACCGGGCUUGCCAGGCUUCCCCGGCGUGCUGGGACGCCCGGGCAACCAGGGAGAGCCGGGACCACCAGGACCUCCGGUAAGGGUCCCCCCAGUGUCCCCAUUGUCCCCGUGCUGGGAUCGUGCUGUCCUGCCACCCCCUCCUCGUCCUGAGGAGCUGUGCCACCAGCGGGCACCACGAGGACGAAAUGUCCCCUUGUUCCCUGCAGGGCACCGCUGGCCCCCCGGGGACCCAGGGCCCAGCUGGGAUGAAGGUAAAUCAUCAUCAUCAUCAUCAUCACCAUCAUCAUCACCAUCACCAUAUUUGACCCCGCAGAGGAACGUGCGGUGCCCUGCAGGCACCAGGGGCUGUGGGGAAAAACGUGGGGCUGGUCCCCUGCUGGAGCCAGCCCCUGGGGGGCUCAGGGGACAUGGGGACGUGGUGGGGACGUGGUGGCAGGGCUGUUGGGGUGGUGGGACCGACGCGGGUGCUGUCUCCACAGGGCGACCCCGGGGAGCCUGGUGCCAGCAUCCGGGUGAGCCUCCACUCCCCCCUACCCGGUCCCUGACCCCAAAUCCCUUCCCAGGGGACAGCUGACGUCCCGGCGAGAUGUCCCAGCGU